UACGUAGGGUGCAAGCGUUAAUCGGAAUUACUGGGCGUAAAGCGUGCGCAGGCGGUUCGCUAAGACAGAUGUGAAAUCCCCGGGCUUAACCUGGGAACUGCAUUUGUGACUGGCGGGCUAGAGUAUGGCAGAGGGGGUAGAAUUCCACGUGUAGCAGUGAAAUGCGUAGAGAUGUGGAGGAAUACCGAUGGCGAAGGCAGCCCCUGGGCCAAUACUGACGCUCAUGCACGAAAGCGUGGGGAGCAAACAGG
RNAcentral lists this ribosomal RNA (251 nucleotides) under uncultured bacterium. RNAcentral describes it as "partial 16S ribosomal RNA". It matches the Rfam family "Bacterial small subunit ribosomal RNA", at positions 524 to 776 of the family's 1533-position model. The record is from RNAcentral.